UUUUAAAGUAACUCGUUACAGUUACUGUUACUUGAGAAAGUAACUUUUCGUUAUUCUUCUGUUACUUUUUUAAAAUUGACGACCACGAAUCACAGCGGACAAGUGCCUAGAGGCUUUCUAGUCUCAAGCGCUAUGAGUGGCUUGUGUUCAAUCGAACUAUGUCCAAUCAUGUGCAAAGCAACAAUAAAAGUAACUGCAAAAUUCGUUAUCGUUACCAAAAAAUGUAACUAUGUUACCGUUACAGUUAUAAAAAAGAGUAACGUAGUUACUAGUAAAGUUACCAAAAAAGUAACUUGUAACUGUAACUUCGUUACCAGCAGGAUUGGGUAACUGCAUAAAGAUUUUUUG
This is a long non-coding RNA of Mycetomoellerius zeteki, 348 nucleotides long. RefSeq lists it as uncharacterized. The transcript has 3 exons. Lineage: Eukaryota; Metazoa; Arthropoda; Insecta; Hymenoptera; Formicidae. The record is from RefSeq and is a predicted model, not a curated record.